GACGAACGCUGGCGGCGUGCUUAACACAUGCAAGUCGAACGGAAAGGCCCUGCUUUUGUGGGGUGCUCGAGUGGCGAACGGGUGAGUAACAAGUGAGUAACCUACCCUUGACUUUGGGAUAACUUCAGGAAACUGGGGCUAAUACCGGAUAGGAGCUCCUGCUGCAUGGUGGGGGUUGGAAAGUUUCGGCGGUUGGGGAUGGACUCGCGGCUUAUCAGCUUGUUGGUGGGGUAGUGGCUUACCAAGGCUUUGACGGGUAGCCGGCCUGAGAGGGUGACCGGCCACAUUGGGACUGAGAUACGGCCCAGACUCCUACGGGAGGCAGCAGUGGGGAAUAUUGCACAAUGGGCGGAAGCCUGAUGCAGCAACGCCGCGUGCGGGAUGACGGCCUUCGGGUUGUAAACCGCUUUCGCCUGUGACGAAGCGUGAGUGACGGUAAUGGGUAAAGAAGCACCGGCUAACUACGUG
RNAcentral lists this ribosomal RNA (468 nucleotides) under uncultured bacterium. RNAcentral describes it as "partial 16S ribosomal RNA". It matches the Rfam family "Bacterial small subunit ribosomal RNA", at positions 28 to 507 of the family's 1533-position model. The record is from RNAcentral.